UAAAAAUUUAUGAUUUUAAAGAUUUAUUUUUAAUUUAUUUUACAUGCAAAUUUUAGUGUUAAUUUUUAAUUAUUUGAAUAAUAAUUAAAAUUUAUUGUAGUAAAUAAUAUUAAAAAUUUAAGAAAUUAAGAUUUAGUUAUAUUAAAGUUAAUAACAAAUUUUGUGCCAGCAGUUGCGGUUAUACGAAAAUUAAGAUAAAUUUUUUUCAGUUUAUAAUUAAUAAUUUUUUUAAUUAAAUUAAAUAUUAAAUUAUUAAGUGAAAUUUUAAUUUAAUUAAAAUUUAUUUAUAAAUUAUGAUUUAAUAAAUUUAUUUAUAAACUAGGAUUAGAUACCCUAUUAUUAACAAUUUAAAUUAUAAUGCUAAAAUAGUAAAUAUAUUUAAUUAUUGAAACUUAAGUAAUUUGGCGGUAUUUUAGUUCAUUUAGAGGAAUCUGUUUAAUAAUUGAUAAUCCACGAAUAAAUUUACUUAAUUUUUUAUUUUGUAUAUCGUUGUUAAAAAAAUAUUUUUAAAUGAAAAUAAUAUUUAAAAAUUAUUAAUAUAAAUUAGUUCAGAUCAAGAUGCAGAUUAUAAUUAAGAAUAUAAUGGAUUACAAUAAAUUUAUUUAGAUGAAUAUUAUUUUGUAAAAAUAUUUGAAGGUGGAUUUAAAUGUAAUUUUAUUUAAUUUAUUAAAAUGAUUAAAAAUUAAAAUAUGUACAUAUUGCCCGUCGCUUUCAUUUAAAAAUUGGAAUAAGUCGUAACAAAGUAGAGGUACUGGAAAGUGUUUCUAGAAAGAC
RNAcentral lists this non-coding RNA (774 nucleotides) under Malaza fastuosus. The record is from RNAcentral. Lineage: Eukaryota; Metazoa; Arthropoda; Insecta; Lepidoptera; Hesperiidae.